GACGAACGCUGGCGGCGUGCCUAAUACAUGCAAGUAGAACGCUGAAGGAGGAGCUUGCUUCUCUGGAUGAGUUGCGAACGGGUGAGUAACGCGUAGGUAACCUGCCUGGUAGCGGGGGAUAACUAUUGGAAACGAUAGCUAAUACCGCAUAACAGUAGAUAUCGCAUGAUAUCUACUUGAAAGGUGCAAUUGCAUCACUACCAGAUGGACCUGCGUUGUAUUAGCUAGUUGGUGAGGUAACGGCUCACCAAGGCGACGAUACAUAGCCGACCUGAGAGGGUGAUCGGCCAAACUGGGACUGGGACACGGCCCAGACUCCUACGGGAGGCAGCAGUAGGGAAUCUUCGGCAAUGGACGGAAGUCUGACCGAGCAACGCCGCGUGAGUGAAGAAGGUUUUCGGAUCGUAAAGCUCUGUUGUAAGAGAAGAACGAGUGUGAGAGUGGAAAGUUCACACUGUGACGGUAUCUUACCAGAAAGGGACGGCUAACUACGUG
Molecule: ribosomal RNA, 495 nt
Filed under: uncultured bacterium
Lineage: Bacteria
Description: partial 16S ribosomal RNA
Rfam family: Bacterial small subunit ribosomal RNA
Source: RNAcentral